CCAUAACCCGCGCGGCAGGGAUCGAGCGGAAAUCCCUCCCCGAAUGGUUUUACGUUCGUCCAUUCAGUAGAAAGCAUUGGGGAGGAUUGGAGGGAGAGCCCGACCCGGG
RNAcentral lists this small RNA (109 nucleotides) under Leptospira meyeri. Its description in RNAcentral is "Flavo-1 RNA". Lineage: Bacteria; Pseudomonadati; Spirochaetota; Leptospiria; Leptospirales; Leptospiraceae. The record is from RNAcentral.